Molecule: ribosomal RNA, 250 nt
Filed under: uncultured bacterium
Lineage: Bacteria
Description: partial 16S ribosomal RNA
Rfam family: Bacterial small subunit ribosomal RNA
Source: RNAcentral
UACGGAGGGUGCAAGCAUUAAUCGGAUUUAUUGGGCGUAAAGGGCGCGUAGGCGGUGAGGUAAGUCAGAUGUGAAAUCCCGGGGCUCAACCCCGGAACAGCAUUUGAAACUACUUUUCUAGAGGAUAGGCGGAGAAAAUGGAAUUCCACAUGUAGCGGUGAAAUGCGUAGAUAUGUGGAAGAACACCAGUGGCGAAGGCGGUUUUCUAGCUUAGACCUGACGCUGAUGCGCGAAAGCAAGGGGAUCAAAC